AUCCAGCUGAUGAGUCCCAAAUGGGACGAAACGCGCGUCCUCGAU
Molecule: non-coding RNA, 45 nt
Filed under: Schistosoma mansoni
Lineage: Eukaryota; Metazoa; Platyhelminthes; Trematoda; Strigeidida; Schistosomatidae
Source: RNAcentral